GAUUAAAUAAAUAAUUUAUUAAUUUUAAAAUUUUAUUAAAUUUUAAUUAAAAAAAUUUAAUUUUUAUUAUUAAUUAAGAAAAAAUAAUUUUUAUAAUAGUUUAUAGUAUCUAAAGAGAAAAUUUAAUUAAUUUUAAUAAAGAAAAAUUAAAAUUUUGUACCUUGUGCAUCAGGGCUGAUUAAAAAAAAAUUAAUUAUUUAAUAUUCUCGAAUUUAAAAGAGCUAAUUAGUUAUAUAUUUUAUUGUGAAAUAAAUAUUUAUAAUAAUUAAUUAGAAAUGAAACGUUAUUCGUUUUUAAAUAUAUCUAGUUUCUUAAUAAAUAAAUUUAAUUUAGUUAUUUUUAAAUAAAAUUUUAAAUUUUUAAUAUUUUAUUUAAAAAUAAGUAAUUUUUUGAGGGAUAAGCUUUAAAAAAUAAUUUUAAAAUUUAAUAAAUUUAAAAAUAAAUUAUAGGAUUAUAAAUUUCUAUUAAUUAAAAAAUGUAAUAAUUAAUUAUUUUAUAAAUAUAAUUUUUAUUAAAUUUUGAUUUUUUAUAAGAUUUAUUUUUUUAUUUAAAAAAGAUUUGUAAUAAUGAUUAAAUUAGUAUAAAUUAUUGUAAAAAUCAAUUAAUAACCAAAGGUUAAAUUAAGGAAUUCCGGCCAAUAUUUUUUCACCUGUUUAUUAAAAACAUGUCCUUUUGAUUAUAUUU
RNAcentral lists this ribosomal RNA (684 nucleotides) under Lemidia sp. 2 NLG-2013. RNAcentral describes it as "partial 16S ribosomal RNA". Lineage: Eukaryota; Metazoa; Arthropoda; Insecta; Coleoptera; Cleridae. The record is from RNAcentral.